CAGCAGUGAGGAAUAUUGGUCAAUGGCCGGAAGGCUGAACCAGCCAUGCCGCGUGAAGGUCAGUGCCCUAUGGGCGUUAAACUUCUUUUGUGCGGGAGCAAUAAUGGUCACGUGUGGCCAGACGAGAGUACCGUACGAAUAAGCAUCGGCUAACUCCGUGCCAGCAGCCGCGGUAAUACGGGGGAUGCAAGCGUUAUCCGGAUUUAUUGGGUUUAAAGGGUGCGUAGGCUGUGAGGUAAGUCAGCGGUGAAAUGCCCCCGCUCAACGGGGUGAAGUGCCAUUGAUACUGCCUUGCUGGAAUGCGGAUGCCGUGGGAGGAAUGUGUGGUGUAGCGGUGAAAUGCAUAGAUAUCACACAGAACACCGAUUGCGAAGGCAUCUCACGAAUCCGCGAUUGACGCUGAUGCACGAAAGCGUGGGUAUCAAACAGGAUUAGA
Molecule: ribosomal RNA, 436 nt
Filed under: uncultured Bacteroidota bacterium
Lineage: Bacteria; Pseudomonadati; Bacteroidota
Description: bacterial SSU rRNA
Rfam family: Bacterial small subunit ribosomal RNA
Source: RNAcentral